CGCGCCGCCCGAGGCGAGCCCGUAGUAUCGCGCUUUAGCGACGGCGCCCUCCGGUGUCGGGCUCGCACACUGAAGCAUCGACGCUGUAACUAUAAAAUAUUUGAAGACUGUGGUUUUCUGUUUAGUAAUGUUAAUUUUAUUGCACAAACUACCCUACGUAAGUUUUCACGAAGAAAAGAAUUCCGAUAACUAGGAGCAAGAAAAGCGUAUCAGAACUGUCUGUAAGUACCAGGCGUUUAUACAUGUAUAGCAGGCAACUUUGCGACAGGCGGGCGGACGCGGCGCGGCUUCCGGGCGCGCUUCCUUCCGGAAAUAGGGCCCGUUCCGGGGCGCCCGGCGUCUAAUGGCGCGUGCCUCUCUUAAUAUCAUGCCACCCUGGUACCCGUGCUCGUUAGCCCCAACUUCGGUGACGACUUCACUCCCCCGGGACUUUUCGGUAUUUUCUGAAAAUUGUAGUUUGCUUUGAUUUACACGACAUUAUUGCAAAAAAGAAAAUGAAGGCCAAUUUGUUUCCACUAAUGUCUGAUAUUAAAAUUACAACGUUAGCCGUUUUACAUAAUAUGCAAAUACAGCACGUUUGGCUUGAAAACAUUG
This is a long non-coding RNA of Plodia interpunctella (Indianmeal moth), 594 nucleotides long. RefSeq lists it as uncharacterized. NCBI's taxonomy places the organism in Eukaryota, Metazoa, Arthropoda, Insecta, Lepidoptera, Pyralidae. The transcript has 3 exons. The record is from RefSeq and is a predicted model, not a curated record.